ACAGCUAGAGACCACUGUUCUAUUCCCCUGUUAUCCCAGCUCGACCCGACAACACUCUUAUUACCUGAAAGGAAUUGUGAAGCAGAAAGGGUGAGCACAACUAGCCCAGUAAAGAAUAUCAUGACUAAAGAUAAUUAAAUUAUCAAUAGCUUUCAUCAAUAAUAAAUCAGAGAUUUAGAACAUAUGGUAGAUGAUAAAACUUUUCAACCAUAUUUGCAGCGGAAC
RNAcentral lists this long non-coding RNA (225 nucleotides) under Panax ginseng (ginseng). RNAcentral's name for it is "long non-coding RNA (PGIN_LNC001797)". Lineage: Eukaryota; Viridiplantae; Streptophyta; Magnoliopsida; Apiales; Araliaceae. The record is from RNAcentral.